UUGGGUUAAGUCCCGCAACGAGCGCAACCCUUGUCUUUAGUUGCCAUCAUUAAGUUGGGCACUCUAGAGAGACUGCCAGGGAUAACCUGGAGGAAGGUGGGGAUGACGUCAAAUCAUCAUGCCCCUUAUGCUUAGGGCUACACACGUGCUACAAUGGGGAGUACAGAGGGUUGCCAAGCCGUAAGGUGGAGCUAAUCCCUUAAAGCUACUCUCAGUUCGGAUUGUAGGCUGAAACUCGCCUACAUGAAGC
RNAcentral lists this ribosomal RNA (250 nucleotides) under Clostridioides difficile. RNAcentral's name for it is "partial 16S ribosomal RNA". It matches the Rfam family "Bacterial small subunit ribosomal RNA", at positions 1075 to 1326 of the family's 1533-position model. Lineage: Bacteria; Bacillati; Bacillota; Clostridia; Peptostreptococcales; Peptostreptococcaceae. The record is from RNAcentral.